CAGUCGCCGCGGGAAUACGAAGGUCCCGAGCGUUGUUCGGAAUCACUGGGCGUAAAGGGAGCGUAGGCGGCGUGGUAAGCCAGAUGUGAAAUCCCGGGGCUCAACCCCGGAACUGCAUCCGAUACUGCCAUGCUAGAGGAUUGGAGAGGUAGCUGGAAUUCUUGGUGUAGCAGUGAAAUGCGUGGAGAUCAAGAGGAACACUCGUGGCGAAAGCGAGCUACUGGACAAUAACUGACGCUGAGGCUCGAAAGCGUGGGGAGCAAACAGGAUUAGAUACCCCUGUAGUCCCUGUCUCUUAUAC
This 301-nucleotide ribosomal RNA is filed under the name uncultured bacterium. Its description in RNAcentral is "partial 16S ribosomal RNA". It matches the Rfam family "Bacterial small subunit ribosomal RNA", at positions 509 to 807 of the family's 1533-position model. The record is from RNAcentral.